CACAAUGGGGUGGUUCCAUGGCCCAGAAGCACUCUAGCUACAGAUUAGAAUGAUGACAAGAGUAAUACCUUCCUAGUGAAGAUGACGUUUAUUUCAGGACUAUAUUAAGUUUCCCAACUUCUGUCAUGAUAUAGUCCAAAGAGAACCUGGACCACGCAGACAUCAAACAGAACAUGACACUGACCCAUUCUAUCAGUGACGUUGUGCUGAUUGCACAGGACAGAUGAGAGGCUCGUAUACUAGAAGUCUUGAUAACUUGUUUUCUAGUUUCACAUGUCCACAGAUGAAGAAAAAUUGUGCCCCAGCAAGGAUUAUACCCAGAGCCUCAUCCAUUCAUACCUGAUUUAGAUACUUAGAUGAUGAGUAAUAGAAAACAUCUUUAUGUAAAUCACUGUACUUGGCUUCGUGAGAAAUAUAAAAAUGAAUUGCUUCAAUCCCUGGACUCAAGGAUCCUGUGUUACCAAGGUGGUUAUCAAACCUGGGUCAAAGUUGAAUCACCUGAGGAUCUUUUAGAACAUACACAGCCAGCUGGACCUGCCCUCAGCUACCUCAUCUCUCUCUGUGACCUAAUGACAGAAAAGCACAUGAUUCUCUUCACCUGACUUCAUAUAUGGGUCCAUGUCAUAUGAUACUUCAAAAUCUGUGAUUCCAUGAAGCCAAGAGUAGCUCUUCAACAGGAAAUGAAUGAGUGCUUCAGCUUCUGAUCCCAUUAGUAAGAAAAUACAGUCUUAUGAGCAAUGAUGGAGCUGCAUCUCUUAGGGGCAUUUGAUUCCCAAGAGACCAAAGAGCAAAGAGAAUGUCAAUUUAAAAAAAUCAAAUGUUUCCAUGACUUAGCUAUUUAACUGCUUUAAAAUGAAUGAAUGCUGCUUCAAGUUCUUUCAAAUACCCCACAUCUUGGCAACAACGAAAGGAAUUAACAUGAAGAAAAUUUACAAUCUUUCAUCACAUCGAACAAUGUCCCACAUUUGAAAAGUUCACAGCACAGAUUUCUGGUUACUGAAAGAAAGGAAAGACCUUCUUUGGAUUUGAAUAAACAGAUGGACUUUCUGUUAUCCACAGAAGGAAUGAUCUGCAAUGUACACACGCCAGGACAGAAAUUCUACAGUUGCUGAUAAAAUGUAAACCUGUAAGUACUGAAUAAGAAUUAUGCCCAAUAAAAAGUCAUGGCUAGGGAGUAAAAGAUGGAGUGUUGACAGGGAAGUAGAACAAUAAAUGGGGUAAUCAGGAAAGGCUGAUUACCUUUCCUGAUGGGGAAGGGUGAGACCCCUAAUCUAGUCCAGUCUCCCAUUUUACAAAUAAAGAGACUGAGCUCCACAAGGUUAAGCUACUGGUCCAGAAUCCCAUAGCUCACAAGUGAUGAGCUGCCUCCUUGAAUUAAUCAUGAGUAGCAUAUUCUUCAG
Molecule: long non-coding RNA, 1400 nt
Filed under: Homo sapiens (human)
Lineage: Eukaryota; Metazoa; Chordata; Mammalia; Primates; Hominidae
Description: long non-coding RNA NONHSAT184734.1
Source: RNAcentral